Phyllostomus discolor (pale spear-nosed bat) is the source of this 2614-nucleotide long non-coding RNA. RefSeq lists it as uncharacterized. The transcript has 2 exons. The record is from RefSeq and is a predicted model, not a curated record. NCBI's taxonomy places the organism in Eukaryota, Metazoa, Chordata, Mammalia, Chiroptera, Phyllostomidae.
UGGGGAACAUUCAUUUCUUUUUUCUACACUUAUCUGUGCCUACAUAUUUUAGAACUAUUAUAAGCAGCUUUAUUUUGUAUUCAGAGCAGACAGGUUUUUGAGUGGGUGCAACAAUCUUGCACUUGACUGUGGACAAGUUGAUCUUCCUGUGUCCCAACACACUCAUGUCUUCAUCUGGUCUGGAAGUUGAUAUCUCCCUCCCACAAGCCCAGAAUCACUGGCCCACAACAACUCUGAGGUUCAAAGUGAGGAACCUAAGGCUCAGAGAUAAGCUAAUACAAUUCAAGGUUACACAGACAUUGUGUGAUGUGUAUUUAAAUAAAUACCUGUUUUAAGUAAAAAUCAGAACUCUCCCUCAGAUCAAUGUUUCUUAAGGCUUGAAAGCAAGACCACAGGAUGAGGAGGAGACUUUAACCCAAGAAACAAGGGUCACUGAGGAGGCAGCAAUGACUCAGAGGCUUAUUCCCAGGAAGGCUGGGUAGAUGCUGUAACUAAGAAAAAAAGGAAGUCCUGGAGGGCAGUUGUGACAGAAAGAAAACCACAUCCUGGGUCCAGGAGAAAGGAUAUGUUUCCUUCUCUCAUUUCCCUGUAUCCUUCCUUCGUGCUCAUUGUCACAGUGACACUUGACCUAAACUGCACAGUUAGAUGGUGAACAUGCCUCUGCUGAUGUGAGCUGUGUGGGACACAGGAGUCCACGUCUUCCUGAAGCAUUUCCAAGGCCUGGGUGACCAGUGUCCAUAGUGACAGCCCCACAGCAAGGUGUUGAUAGAUAGGCUGAGGGUAAAGGAGACCCCAUGGGGGAGGCUGUUACAGGGACAUGCCUCAGGUCACCCCAUCUGCAAUGAGCAUUUCAGGAAGCCUGAGGGUCUAUUUACUACUCAUCAUGAAAAGGAGAUCUAAGCUCCUGGAGAAGAGCUCUUCCCCUUCGUGAGUAGCCACUGAUGCGACAGCCCCAUGACGGGGAGGGCCAGCCUCUGAGUAUCCAUACCCUGUGUGUCUGAGGACACCAUGAUCUCCUCCUGCUGCACCACUGGGUCCAGAAGAAGAGACACCAUGACCCCCACACUUAGGGCCUGCUCUGUCUUUGUGAGAUGUGAGGAGGGGCAGGGGAAGCCCUGGUCUGAGAGGGACCCCACCCCACGGCCAGGCCCUGGUAUGUCAGGAGACCCCAGGACUUAGGAGGCUCACAAGGAAGAGGGUUCUGCUCAGGAUUCAGAGCCAAAUCUCCCACAAGAACUCUCUCCCAGGGCUGAGUGUGGGUGCAAGAACCCAAGUGCUGGCAGGUGAAUCUCCAGGUAUCCCAUGGGUCAUUCCUGACAGGGGACAAGGGACCUCAUGACAGGCAGCUGGGAUAGAAAGCAGCAGAUCUGGCCUGGCAGAUGGGGACAUAUGAUGAAGUCCUACAGCUGAGUGCUUGGAACUGAGGUUUAGAAGUGUCUUAUGACCAAACCUCUGAUGUCUUUCCAGGAAACCUCCCUGAACCCACCAUCUGGGCUGAGCCUAGCUCAGUGAUUCCCUGAAGAAACUCUGUGAUCAUCCAGUGUCAGGAGACCCUGGGGGCCAAAGAGUUCAGUCUGGAGAGAGAUGGAAGCCCAAUGUUCUGGGGUAGAGAGUUCCCACUGGAUCCCAGGAAGAAGCCAAAUCCUCCAUCACACACAUGAUGGAGACUGAUGCAGGGAGAUAGCACUGUUACUCUCUCAGCCACAGUGGCCAGUGAGAGCACAGUGCUGGUGGUGACUGGUGAGAGGACCCUCAGGGGCCUCAGCCUCAGGCUCUGUCCUCAGAAAGGGUGUUCCCUGGGGCUGUCCUCCCUCUCACAGCCCCGCCCUGGGGACCUGCAGGAAAUGUGAGCCUCAUUUAACACCCUGCCUUCAUUUCUCUUAGGAUCCUACAGCAAACCCGGCCUCUCAGUCCUGCUGAGGCCUGUCAUGACCUCAGGAGGGAACAUGACCCUCCAGUGAGGCUCAGGGCAGAGAUUUGACAAGUUCAUUCUGACAAAGGAAGAACAGAAUCUUUCCUGGACCCUGGACUCACAGCCACACCCCAGUGGGCAGUUCAAGGCCCUGUUCUCACUAGACCCUAUAAUCCUUGACCACCCAUGGACAUUCAGAUGCUGUGGCUCUUACAAAAACAGAACCCAGGUGUGGUAACACCGGAGUGACACCCUGGAGUUCCUGGUCUCAUGUGUGUCUGGGAAGCCCUCCCUCCUGACCCAGCAGGGCCCCACUGUGGCCUCUGGAAAGAACCUGACACUCCAGUGUCACUCUGAUGUUGGCUAUGAUAGAUUUGCUUUGUCCAAGGAGGGGGGACAGGGCCUCCCUCAGAGCACUGUCUUGCAACCCCAGGCUGGGCUCCCUCAGGCCGACUUCCCCCCUGGACACUGUGAGCAGCUCCCAUGGGGGCCAGUAGAGAUGCUACAGUGGACACAACUUCUCCUCUGAGUGGUCACUCCCCAGUGACCCACUGGACAUCCUGGUGGUAGGUGAGGAGCCAGUGGGUUCAGUCUGGGACCCAGAGUCUGCACAGGGCCUGCGGAGGACGUCAGAGGGUGAAGUUCAGAGAGAAGGCGCAGGGCCCCAGGGAGGGAGACAGACAGAAAGAUAGGAAGCGGGAG